This 460-nucleotide ribosomal RNA is filed under the name uncultured bacterium. RNAcentral's name for it is "partial 16S ribosomal RNA". It matches the Rfam family "Bacterial small subunit ribosomal RNA", at positions 338 to 795 of the family's 1533-position model. The record is from RNAcentral.
CCUACGGGUGGCAGCAGUGAGGAAUAUUGGUCAAUGGCCGGAAGGCUGAACCAGCCAUGCCGCGUGAAGGUCAGUGCCCUAUGGGCGUUAAACUUCUUUUGUGCGGGCGCAAUAAUGGUCACGUGUGGCCAGACGAGAGUACCGUACGAAUAAGCAUCGGCUAACUCCGUGCCAGCAGCCGCGGUAAUACGGGGGAUGCAAGCGUUAUCCGGAGUUAUUGGGUUUAAAGGGUGCGUAGGCUGUGAGGUAAGUCAGCGGUGAAAUGCCCCCGCUCAACGGGGUGAAGUGCCAUUGAUACUGCCUGGCUGGAAUGCGGAUGCCGUGGGAGGAAUGUGUGGUGUAGCGGUGAAAUGCAUAGAUAGCACACAGAACACCGAUUGCGAAGGCAUCUCACGAAUCCGCGAUUGACGCUGAUGCACGAAAGCGUGGGUAUCAAACAGGAUUAGAUACCCCUGUAGUC